CCUACGGGAGGCAGCAGUGGGGAAUAUUGGGCAAUGGGCGCAAGCCUGACCCAGCAACGCCGCGUGAAGGAAGAAGGCUUUCGGGUUGUAAACUUCUUUUGUCAGGGAAGAGUAGAAGACGGUACCUGACGAAUAAGCCACGGCUCACUACGUGCCAGCAGCCGCGGCAAUACGUAGGUGGCAAGCGUUGUCCGGAUUUACUGGGUCUAAAGGGCGUGUAGCCGGGUUGACAAGUCAGAUGUGAAAUCCUGCGGCUUAACCGCAGAACUGCAGUUGAAACUGUUGAUCGUGAGUACGGGAGAGGCAGACGGAAUUCCUGGUGUAGCGGUGAAAUGCGUAGAUAUUAGGAGGAACGCCAGUGGCGAAGGCGGUCUGCUGGACAGCAACUGACGGUGAGGCGCGAAGGCGUGGGGAGCAAACAGGAUUAGAUACCCGUGUAGUC
Molecule: ribosomal RNA, 442 nt
Filed under: uncultured bacterium
Lineage: Bacteria
Description: partial 16S ribosomal RNA
Rfam family: Bacterial small subunit ribosomal RNA
Source: RNAcentral